AAUGGGGGAUAACGUCCGGAAACGGGCGCUAAUACCGCAUACGUCCUGAGGGAGAAAGUGGGGGAUCUUCGGACCUCACGCUAUCAGAUGAGCCUAGGUCGGAUUAGCUAGUUGGUGGGGUAAAGGCCUACCAAGGCGACGAUCCGUAACUGGUCUGAGAGGAUGAUCAGUCACACUGGAACUGAGACACGGUCCAGACUCCUACGGGAGGCAGCAGUGGGGAAUAUUGGACAAGGGGCGAAAGCCUGAUCCAGCCAUGCCGCGUGUGUGAAGAAGGUCUUCGGAUUGUAAAGCACUUUAAGUUGGGAGGAAGGGCAGUAAGUUAAUACCUUGCUGUUUUGACGUUACCAACAGAAUAAGCACCGGCUAACUUCGUGCCAGCAGCCGCGGUAAUACGAAUGGUGCAAGCGUUAAUCGGAAUUACUGGGCGUAAAGCGCGCGUAUGUGGUUCAGCAAGUUGGAUGUGAAAUCCCCGGGCUCAACCUGGGGAACUGCAUCCAAAACUACUGAGCUAGAGUACGGUAGAGGGUGGUGGAAUUUC
This 541-nucleotide ribosomal RNA is filed under the name Pseudomonas aeruginosa. RNAcentral's name for it is "bacterial SSU rRNA". It matches the Rfam family "Bacterial small subunit ribosomal RNA", at positions 135 to 670 of the family's 1533-position model. Lineage: Bacteria; Pseudomonadati; Pseudomonadota; Gammaproteobacteria; Pseudomonadales; Pseudomonadaceae. The record is from RNAcentral.